GCAGAGAAUCCCCUCGUACCUUUUGCAUCAUGAUUCAGCCAGUAAAACACAUGCAAAGAGACCUCUAGUUUGUAACCCCGAAACCCGACGAGCUACUCCGAGACAGCCUACCCAGGGCCAACCCGUCUCUGUGGCAAAAGAGUGGGAAGAUCUCCGAGUAGAGGCAAAAGACCUACCGAGCCGGGUUAUAGCUGGUUGCCCGAUAAAUGAAUAAAAGUUCAGCCCCGUUAGGCCCAACUCGCAACAGUCACACAUUUAAAGACAAAGAGCCACCAAACGGGAGUUAAUCAGAGGAGGUACAGCUCCCCUGAUAAAGGAUACAACCUUAUAAAGGAGAAUAAGGAAUAUAAUAAACAAGGCCACAGAUCCCAGUAGGCCUAAAAGCAGCCACCUGCCUAGAAAGCGUUAAAGCUCAGAUCCAAUUAAACCUGUUAUCCUAUUAGACCUCUCCGAAAUCCCUCCUUCUACCGGGCCUCUCUAUGCUUCCAUAGAAGAGAUUAUGCUGAAAUGAGUAACAAGAAGAUUAAACUUCUCCUAGCACAAGUGUAAAUCGGACCGGACUAACCACCGAUAUUUAACGAACCCAACAACAGAGGGCCAUACACCACCGUCACCUAAACCAAGAAAAUCAUAUUUACUAAAUCGUUUCCCCCACACAGGAGUGCUCAACCAAGGAAAGACUAAAAGAAAAAAAAGGAACUCGGCAAACCUAAACCCCGCCUGUUUACCAAAAACACCGCCUCUUGCACACACAGUAUAAGAGGUCCCACCU
This 772-nucleotide ribosomal RNA is filed under the name Lycothrissa crocodilus (sabretoothed thryssa). Its description in RNAcentral is "partial 16S ribosomal RNA". It matches the Rfam family "Bacterial large subunit ribosomal RNA", at positions 586 to 1860 of the family's 2925-position model. Lineage: Eukaryota; Metazoa; Chordata; Actinopteri; Clupeiformes; Engraulidae. The record is from RNAcentral.